UAUAAAGAAGAUAAAUACUUGAAUUCUUUUGCGGAUUUAGACCUAAAUUUUGCGUUGAAACCCGUAAACUUACAUUUACAAGAAGUUUUCUGCAAGAGAGGAGUCAAAGGAAAGAAGCUUUUUUCCUCGUAAGAAUUGAAAAUCAUGUUUUGAAACUCUUCCAAAGAAUACCUACCAUACUUAUGCUCAUCUUUCUUGACAUGCUUCAAAAUUUCUUUAAAAAAAACUAUUUCGCAAGGGAAAACCAAACCACCCUUAACUUCUAGACCAAACUCCUCUGCAGCUUCACCAAGUAGACACUUAAAAAUAUGUAGGUUAAGGAACCGAACCGGAAUUGUAAAACGUUCACGUUCGGUUCCUACAAAAACAGAAACACAACCGGAUGGAGGACAUCGAUUUUUGUCAUUAGAAUUAUGGACAUUAACAACGUUGUUAUUGCAAUUGCAAUCAUCAGAAUAAGAGUAGUGAAAGGAUUGACGUCGAUGAAGACUCUUGAGC
RNAcentral lists this long non-coding RNA (498 nucleotides) under Trifolium pratense (red clover). RNAcentral's name for it is "long non-coding RNA (TPRA_LNC000973)". The record is from RNAcentral. Lineage: Eukaryota; Viridiplantae; Streptophyta; Magnoliopsida; Fabales; Fabaceae.